ACUCCUUGCUAACAAUUGUCCAGUCUGUUCUUUUCAGUUUAAUCUCUGAAACGAGACUACGGUCUCUUCAAGAUUAUUCUUAUUUUUGAAACCCGUCGACGGCUCCCUGGGCUUGCUCAUAGUCGUUGGCACAGUGUCAUCCCUAUCGCACUACCUGGGAUGUACGCGACCUUUU
Molecule: small nuclear RNA, 175 nt
Filed under: Parastagonospora nodorum SN15
Lineage: Eukaryota; Fungi; Ascomycota; Dothideomycetes; Pleosporales; Phaeosphaeriaceae
Description: Phaeosphaeria nodorum SN15 U2 spliceosomal RNA
Rfam family: U2 spliceosomal RNA
About the family: U2 is a small nuclear RNA (snRNA) component of the spliceosome (involved in pre-mRNA splicing). Complementary binding between U2 snRNA (in an area lying towards the 5' end but 3' to hairpin I) and the branchpoint sequence (BPS) of the intron results the bulging out of an unpaired adenosine, on the BPS, which initiates a nucleophilic attack at the intronic 5' splice site, thus starting the first of two transesterification reactions that mediate splicing.
Source: Rfam by way of RNAcentral